AUUGAACGCUGGCGGAAUGCUUUACACAUGCAAGUCGAACGGCAGCACGGGGCAACCUGGUGGCGAGUGGCGAACGGGUGAGUAAUACAUCGGAACGUGCCCAAUCGUGGGGGAUAACGUAGCGAAAGUUACGCUAAUACCGCAUACGAUCUACGGAUGAAAGCGGGGGAUCGCAAGACCUCGCGCGAAUGGAGCGGCCGAUGUCAGAUUAGGUAGUUGGUGGGGUAAAGGCUCACCAAGCCGACGAUCUGUAGCUGGUCUGAGAGGACGACCAGCCACACUGGGACUGAGACACGGCCCAGACUCCUACGGGAGGCAGCAGUGGGGAAUUUUGGGACAAUGGGCGCAAGCCUGAUCCAGCCAUUCCGCGUGCAGGAUGAAGGCCUCGGUU
RNAcentral lists this ribosomal RNA (391 nucleotides) under uncultured bacterium. RNAcentral describes it as "bacterial SSU rRNA". It matches the Rfam family "Bacterial small subunit ribosomal RNA", at positions 30 to 424 of the family's 1533-position model. The record is from RNAcentral.